This 301-nucleotide ribosomal RNA is filed under the name uncultured bacterium. Its description in RNAcentral is "partial 16S ribosomal RNA". It matches the Rfam family "Bacterial small subunit ribosomal RNA", at positions 509 to 809 of the family's 1533-position model. The record is from RNAcentral.
CAGCAGCCGCGGGAAUACGGAGGGUGCAAGCGUUAUCCGGAUUUAUUGGGUUUAAAGGGUCCGUAGGCGGUCUUGUAAGUCAGUGGUGAAAGCCCAUCGCUCAACGGUGGAACGGCCAUUGAUACUGCAGGACUUGAAUUAUUGGGAAGUAACUAGAAUAUGUAGUGUAGCGGUGAAAUGCUUAGAGAUUACAUGGAAUACCAAUUGCGAAGGCAGGUUACUACCAAUUGAUUGACGCUGAUGGACGAAAGCGUGGGUAGCGAACAGGAUUAGAUACCCGAGUAGUCCCUGUCUCUUAUAA